Molecule: long non-coding RNA, 1180 nt
Filed under: Macaca mulatta (Rhesus monkey)
Lineage: Eukaryota; Metazoa; Chordata; Mammalia; Primates; Cercopithecidae
Description: lncRNA (ENSMMUG00000064096.1)
Source: RNAcentral
ACUGUGUCUGGAGCUGUGCAAGACCUCAGGGCUGCAAAUGAGACCAGGAUGCUGCCACCACCCUCAGGCACUUACUGCCUGAGAGGGAGGCCAAUCACAGGGGCCCGUCCAGACAUCUCCCAGCCCAGUGUUGCCCAGAGACACAGGGGAAUCACCCAGGGUCAGGUCCAAGGCCACGAGACACCUUGGGAAUAAGUGGGUUGGUUGUACAUCUGUUCACUCAGGAAGAGAAGCCAGGAGUCCUCGUAUGAAUGCCUGAACAUGGCGCAGGGAGGCCAGCAUCCUCCCGUGGGAAACAAGAGACAGAACACAGCCUGAGCAGGGGAGGCCGUGGCCCUAUGUGCUUUGAAGAAAACUCAUGGGAGUGGCCGGAGAGCAGCAGCUCAGACACAUCAGGGCUCCCAGCACCAGCAGCGGCAGCCCUGCCUCUCAGGCUGUCCCCUCUCACCCCUCUGGACACCUUGCACAGCGCCCGAAGCACAGCCUCACUCCCCAGUGCACAGGCCAGUCUGCCCAGGAUGCCACGGUCCAGUGCAGGAACACAUGUCCAAAAGUUGUCUUUUCUUCUGCAUGUGGAUGACGGGAGGCAUGCAGGAGGCAUUCAUGCACACUUGGAGAACAGUGUUGUGCUGCCAUUUGUGCCACCCUCCAGACUGUAUCUUUGAGUCAGACCAAUCGUAUUGCCCUCUCAGGCCAUUCUGUCUUCUCUGUUGCUAAAAUGCAGAAGGGAUUCUCCUGCUUCAGUUGUCACAACCUUCACAACACUGCAGGCGUGGCCAGUCUAAUCCAUAGGAACCACCAGAGAAUGAAAUUUCAUGGCCAUUCAAACGGAUUCCAGAGCUCAGCAUCAUUGCUCCUGUCAGUGUCCCCGCAAAGGAGUUUCUUACCAGGACUUGAAAAGCAGCCACUGCGAGAAGAGGAGCAUGGUGGGCUGGGAGUAUGUCCACCCUUCACAGACCACAGGAGAGGGACCUUGAGGGGUCCCCUGACCCAGCCCCACUGCUGUCCUUACCUGGGUGUCUCAGGGCACCUGCUACCCUUCACCAGAUGUUCAUUCCACGUACAAGUCCUGGUCCCAUGAUGUUCCAGGGGCUAUGCCAAGACUCCAAAAUUAAUAAAGACAGAGGCCUCCUCUGACCUCACUGCUGCCCUGGGUGGUGUCCCCCAGCUUCCAAGCAAU